AGAUGGGCCCGCGGCGCAUUAGCUAGUUGGUGGGGUAAUGGCCUACCAAGGCAACGAUGCGUAGCCGACCUGAGAGGGUGAUCGGCCACACUGGAACUGAGACACGGUCCAGACUCCUACGGGAGGCAGCAGUGGGGAAUAUUGCACAAUGGAGGAAACUCUGAUGCAGCGACGCCGCGUGAAUGACGAAGGCCUUCGGGUCGUAAAAUUCUGUCCUUGGGGACGAUAAUGACGGUACCCAUGUUUUUAAGYCCCGGCUAACUACGUGCCAGCAGCCGCGGUAAUACGUAGGGGGCGAGCGUUGUCCGGAAUUAUUGGGCGUAAAGGGUUCGCAGGCGGUCUUUUAAGUCAGAUGUUAAAUGCAUAGGCUCAACCUAUGAGUGCAUUUGAAACUGGAAGACUUGAGUUAAGGAGAGGAAAGUGGAAUUCCUAGUGUAGCGGUGAAAUGCGUAGAUAUUAGGAGGAAUACCAGUGGCGAAGGCGACUUUCUGGACUUUUUCUGACGCUGAGGAACGAAAGCAUGGGGAGCAACAGGAUUAGAUACCCUGGUAGUCCAUGCCGUAACGAUGAGUGCUAGGUGUUGGGGUCAAACCUCGGUGCCGCAGCUAACGCAUUAAGCACUCGCCUGGGGAGUACGUACGCAGUAUGAACUCAA
RNAcentral lists this ribosomal RNA (655 nucleotides) under uncultured Tissierellaceae bacterium. RNAcentral's name for it is "bacterial SSU rRNA". It matches the Rfam family "Bacterial small subunit ribosomal RNA", at positions 223 to 904 of the family's 1533-position model. The record is from RNAcentral. Lineage: Bacteria; Bacillati; Bacillota; Tissierellia; Tissierellales; Tissierellaceae.